Long non-coding RNA from Lemur catta (Ring-tailed lemur), 769 nucleotides. RefSeq lists it as uncharacterized. The record is from RefSeq and is a predicted model, not a curated record. Lineage: Eukaryota; Metazoa; Chordata; Mammalia; Primates; Lemuridae. The transcript has 2 exons.
AGUACCUCAAAUGCGCACGGUAACAUUUUUGUAAGAUUCCUCUGACAUCACCGUGUUUUACUGUAGGUGGUGACUCACGGCCGGCUUUUCAGGUUUCUUGGCGCAAGGGUCUAAUUACCAACUUGAUGCAAGAGCAGCAGCAGGUUACAACAGGCUGAGAAACUGCACAGGCGAAGCGCGAGCACCGUGUUCUGCCUGAUGCUGACAGCGAGGCAGAAGCAGCUGGGCCCAGGUCCCGCCCACGUCUCGGGGCCACCGCAGCCGGGACGCGCCGUCACCAUCCGCCUUUCUCUCCGCGGGGCCCCGUGAGCCCUGAGGGCAGGGACGGUCGGAAGAGGGGACCAAGAGUAAAGGCAGCUGGCCCCAGACCGCCACCAAACUGCCAGCAUUUCUACCGCAAAACUACUCCUUUUGGAAGCCAACAACCAUCCCAAGCAAAUUUUCACAUUUGUCUCCAAUUCUGUUAUUACAAACAUUUUCGUUUAUCAUUCCAUUUUUAUAUAUCGAGCCAAAGAAAGUCGGUGUGGAGAAGUCCGGAAGCGACGGCUUGUGGGGCCUGACUGCCAAGGGGCACGGGGCACCUUCUGCGGUGACGGAAGUGUUUUCUGUGUGUUUGGAAUGAUGUCACACGGAGGGUGGUCACACGGAUGCUGUUGCGUGAACAAGAAUAAAGCCUUUGGGCACCCUGGUGGGUGACAGUUGGGCGUAUAUGACUGUUAGCAUAUUUUUCAAAUUAUUUAAAAAUAACAUUAAACUGCUUUUUAAAUUA